GUAAGGCAGUCUAGUCACGGCGACGGUGAAGCAUGGAUUGUUGCCGAAUCGUUUCGCGUUACGGUUCGAUUUGCUUGGGAAUAUUGUUGUUUCUUCUUGGAUCGUUAUCGACAUCGACAUCAACGAGCGGAGUAUCAGGAAACUGAAAAUUAAAAAUCGAUUCGUUAAAAAUAAACCGUGAUCGAAACCGUCAACGUGAAAAUGAAGGAAAAGUGCGUCUCGUUAAACGUAUUCGAAGUGACGAUUUUUUGCUUAAUACGAUUAUUGUAAAUUUGAUGAAUUUUUGUGCAAUAAAACUGACCUGUACGGAUCGAAGCGUUUGGAGUAUCAUUCGAUGAGUCAAAAGUCAAGAGGAAUCGAAAGUACAAUUUUCCCGUGUUUUCCUCUAUCGCCGAUGUCCCGGUGGUCACGAUACGCAAUGACGAAUGAAUCGUGAAAGGAAUUAAUGCGCCAUCGGAAGUGGAAAUCUGAAUGAAUCACUGGAAAGCAAUAAAAAAGAAUUCGUCAUCAUCGAAAUGGAGAAUUUAACCACUUCCGAGAACGAUGCGGAAAGCACGAUCAUCGAUGGCGAACUAUCUAGGUUUCCGAAGCAGCUAAGGACAUUUGCAGCUGUAGUUGCCAUUAUAAUCAUGAUCGUUGGUCUCGCCGGUAAUUUACUCACUAUCAUUGCUUUAUGCAAAUACCCGAAAGUUCGUAACGUUGCCGCAGCUUUUAUUAUAAGCCUCUGCGUGGCGGACUUUGUAUUCUGCCUUCUAGUGUUGCCAUUCGAUUCCAUUAGGUUCGUGGACGCGAGUUGGGCGAACGUACGAUUUCUUUGUGUCCUUGUACCUUUCUUAAGGUACGGAAACGUUGGAGUGAGUCUUCUGUCUGUUGCAGCCAUAACUAUCAACAGGUAUAUCAUGAUAGCUCAUCACGGUUUAUAUAGUAAAGUUUAUAAAAAAUAUUGGAUAGCUUUCAUGAUAGUAUUCUGUUGGAUUUUCUCUUAUGGAAUGCAAGUACCCACCCUGUUAGGAGUUUGGGGCAGAUUUGACUACGAUUCAAACCUUGAAACUUGUUCCAUAGUGAAGGAUAAUAAUGGUCACACGUCGAAAACAUUCCUUUUUGUGAUGGGUUUUGUGAUACCUUGCGUUAUAAUCGUUGGAUGCUAUACCAAAAUAUUCUGGGUGGUGCACAGAUCGGAGUCGAGAAUGCGAAAACACGCAACCCCUACGAUCAAAUCGCCCCAUACACCGAGAAGAGAUGUCAGAGAGAUUAAACAAAGACGCAGCGAAUGGCGAAUCACAAAAAUGGUCCUUGCCAUUUUUCUCAGCUUUGUUGCUUGUUACUUUCCGAUUACUAUUGUUAAGGUUAUCGACGUUGAAGUUAAAUAUCCAGAGUUUCACGUUUUGGGCUAUCUACUAUUGUACUUUGCCUCCUGCGUGAAUCCAAUAAUUUACGUGAUCAUGAACAAACAGUACAGACAAGCGUACGCCGGUGUGAUUAGUUGUUCACGGAUAAGGACCAGUUUAACGCCUUACGGUAGCAGCGCGCCGGGACAACAACAUCAACAGGACUACGGCCAAGUUUUCAAUCCUGUCACUAGAUCAAAUUGGAAUAGAUAAAUGUUAAUAUAUGUAUUAUACGUUUCCAUAAGACUGUGCAAGGUGUUGAAACAUUCUAUCAUUCGAUUCACUGUGUUGAUUAUUCGAAGGAUUUUAGUAGGACCAUGGUGUCAACGGUAUCCAUCGCGAUGAAUCCUGUAAGAAAUUCUCAAUUCGAGGAAGGUCUCUGAAUAUUCGAAUAACCACUGCCCAAGCAUGCAAUAAAUAAUAUGUAUCAAAAUUAUAAUCAAUGGUUAAAGUAUGAAGGAAGGAAGAAAGGAAGAAAGAAAGACAAUGACUGAUAAGUGGUUGGGAGAAAACCAAAAAUAUGAAUGUAAAUAUAAUAAAAUAAACAUUAAUCUUAUCGUUAGUGAGGCACAGCAGAGCUAUGCUCUUAGGUUCAUCUCUCAGUAAUUUACAGGUAUGAUUAAGUAUUGUAUAAAUUAUUUGUCGAAUUAAGGGUUGUAUAAUAAUAUAAGAGAAUUUUAUCGUGUAGGUAUAGAAAAUGUUUGUACAAGACGUUUUUGUAAAUUUUCAAACUUACUCGAGCAACGAAUCACUAUUUGUCGAUAGACAAAUUAAACGUUAAAGUAUUAUUUAAUCCUUUAGUCUAGAGCAGUGGCAGCUCAUAGCUAAAAUUAGUUGGGGUGCUGCUCCAGAAAAUUGUUAGUCUUUGUUUUAAAAAAACCGGCACUGCGGGAGCGACAGUGCUCUUUCUCCCGCGCAGCCUCGCGCGCAGCUUCCUAUGUGCGCAUGCGUGCACAGUCAAACACCACGCUGCUGGAACUGUGAAGCGCACAAUUCCAUACAAAGAUUUUUGUAUCUUUUUCAUAAACUGGGAGAUGGUUACUGACAUUAAGCUUAAGGAUUAUAUAUUGUACAAGUAUAAAGAAAAAGGGACUCAUUAUAUUAAAUGUUAUCGAUAAUAUCAAGUGGAAAUAGGGGGUGCUGCAGUUCCACAGUGCCUAUACGCGAGCCGCCACUGGUCUAGAGUCUAGGUUCGACAUUCUACCAAAGGUUAAACAGUAAAAUGCAUUUGUACAUAAAAAAAUAAAUUAUAUAUCGAUUGUUGAAGACGUUUAUAGUUUGGAGUUAUGAAAUCGUUUCAUAUUUAUUUAAUAUUCUUUUAAAUUAAUCAAUAAGCGAAGAUAGUAUUAUAAGUGUAUCUUGUGUUCUUAGGAAUAAACGAAGUCACACUUUCUUUUCCUUUUUUAACCGACUUCGAAAAGGAGGAGGGUAUUCAAUUCGAUCAGUAUUUUUUUUUUUUUUUU
Molecule: RNA transcript, 2851 nt
Organism: Osmia lignaria (orchard mason bee)
Lineage: Eukaryota; Metazoa; Arthropoda; Insecta; Hymenoptera; Megachilidae
Gene: moody
Gene name: G-protein coupled receptor moody
Source: RefSeq, a predicted model, not a curated record